UGGGCUUUAUUUUAAUUGAGAAUAGUUAGCUGUUACCUAACAGGUGUAGAAUGGAGGUUACAGGUCCAG
RNAcentral lists this transfer RNA (69 nucleotides) under Semele scabra. RNAcentral's name for it is "tRNA-Asn". The record is from RNAcentral. Lineage: Eukaryota; Metazoa; Mollusca; Bivalvia; Cardiida; Semelidae.